This 22-nucleotide microRNA is filed under the name Melibe leonina. RNAcentral's name for it is "mle-miR-1991-3p". Lineage: Eukaryota; Metazoa; Mollusca; Gastropoda; Nudibranchia; Dendronotidae. The record is from miRBase by way of RNAcentral.
UUCUCGUUUCACAGGGUAUUUU